Long non-coding RNA from Myzus persicae (green peach aphid), 518 nucleotides. RefSeq lists it as uncharacterized. The record is from RefSeq and is a predicted model, not a curated record. NCBI's taxonomy places the organism in Eukaryota, Metazoa, Arthropoda, Insecta, Hemiptera, Aphididae. The transcript has 5 exons.
CGAAUGGCAGUGGCGAACUGGACGGCGUAAAAAUAGAAUUUAUUAUUAUGGUGUGGGAAGAUAUUUCACACUGUUUGGCGACAUUCCAUAUCAAACACUCGGUAGAAUAUUUGAAACAAUGUCUUGCUGAUGGCCGGCCCAACAGUUUUGAUUGGUAUACCAUAAGAUAUAUUAGCCAAUAAGAGUGGAUUACCUGAUCUUUUAAAUGCAUUUAUAAGCAAUUUUGGACUAGGGUAUUGCUCAACAAUUGCAAAUGCUUUAUGAACAGACAAUCCUCGGAUCUGAAAACCUGAUGAAAAUGUUUUAAAAGAUAUAAGGUUUACUAUAUUUGAAGAGUUUUUAUAGCCAGAAUCUAUUUCAUCAAUAUGAGUAAAGAGUAAGACAGUUAUACCUUGAACAUAUUUGCAAAUCAUCAUGAGUCAGAGAAAUUAUUGAAUUCUGGUAAUGAUUACUAGUUGAAGGUUGUAAUACUUGUUGAGGGUUGACAUUGACAAGUCUUGCAUUUUUAGAAAUGUCAG